GGAAUUUUCCGCAAUGGGCGAAAGCCUGACGGAGCAACGCCGCGUGAGGGAUGAAGGCCUCUGGGCUGUAAACCUCUUUUAUCAAGGAAGAAGAUCUGACGGUACUUGAUGAAUAAGCCACGGCUAAUUCCGUGCCAGCAGCCGCGGUAAUACGGGAGUGGCAAGCGUUAUCCGGAAUUAUUGGGCGUAAGCGUCCGCAGGCGGUCUUUUAAGUCUGUCGUCAAAGCGUGGAGCUUAACUCCAUUUCUGCGAUGGAAACUGGGAGACUAGAGUGUGGUAGGGGCAGAGGGAAUUCCCGGUGUAGCGGUGAAAUGCGUAGAUAUCGGGAAGAACACCAGUGGCGAAGGCGCUCUGCUGGGCCAUAACUGACGCUCAUGGACGAAAGCCAGGGGAGCGAAAGGGAUUAGAUACCCCUGUAGUCCUGGCCGUAAACGAUGAACACUAGGUGUCGGGGGAAUCGACCCCCUCGGUGUCGUAGCCAACGCGUUAAGUGUUCCGCCUGGGGAGUACGCACGCAAGUGUGAAACUCAAAGGAAUUGACGG
This 543-nucleotide ribosomal RNA is filed under the name uncultured bacterium. Its description in RNAcentral is "bacterial SSU rRNA". It matches the Rfam family "Bacterial small subunit ribosomal RNA", at positions 358 to 916 of the family's 1533-position model. The record is from RNAcentral.